AUGCAAAUUGUGUCACCCGCUAUUCUCGCUCUCUUCUCCAAUGAAGCAACCUUGCGCCACCAUUUCUGCAUCUCACUUCGCUGCUGUCUCACUCAAAUGUUGCUUCAAAUAACCUUCCUUAUUAUCGACUCAUAUCGCUGUGCUCAUGUUCAUCUCGCGUUGAUAUCUCAUUGCGCCUUGCUUUCGUUUCAAAUCGUCCUCAAACCAACAGAUUCACAGAUUCUACAUUGUGAUAGCAAGAAUGAAAAGAGUUAA
Molecule: non-coding RNA, 255 nt
Organism: Vicia faba (fava bean)
Lineage: Eukaryota; Viridiplantae; Streptophyta; Magnoliopsida; Fabales; Fabaceae
Source: the annotation of a GenBank genome assembly